RNAcentral lists this ribosomal RNA (253 nucleotides) under uncultured bacterium. Its description in RNAcentral is "partial 16S ribosomal RNA". It matches the Rfam family "Bacterial small subunit ribosomal RNA", at positions 524 to 776 of the family's 1533-position model. The record is from RNAcentral.
UACGUAGGGUGCGAGCGUUAAUCGGAAUUACUGGGCGUAAAGAGCUCGUAGGCGGUUUGUCGCGUCUGCUGUGAAAACUCGGGGCUUAACUCCGGGCCUGCAGUGGGUACGGGCAGACUAGAGUGCGGUAGGGGAGACUGGAAUUCCUGGUGUAGCGGUGAAAUGCGCAGAUAUCAGGAAGAACACCCGUGGCGAAGGCGGCUCUCUGGUACGUGACUGACGCUGAGACGCGAAAGCGUGGGGAGCAAACAGG